AAUUUAAUAAAACUUUUGACGUUACCGUGUAUAAAAACUCAAAUUUAAAAAAAAUAGAAGUCGGAAAAGUCUUAAUUAAACAUUGUUUAGAAGAUAGUUGAUAUAAGAUUUAUUAUUUUAAAAUUUUAAUCAUCAAACUUAUUCUUCAAAAUUUUUCAAUUUUUAACAUUUUAUUAGCUAAAGAUUAAUUUGACAAUUUUCGUUUAAAAAUAUAUUUACC
This 220-nucleotide long non-coding RNA is filed under the name Ananas comosus (pineapple). Its description in RNAcentral is "long non-coding RNA (ACOM_LNC028511)". Lineage: Eukaryota; Viridiplantae; Streptophyta; Magnoliopsida; Poales; Bromeliaceae. The record is from RNAcentral.